UUGGCGCUUUCUACAGGCUCGCCAUCAGAACUGAGCCCGGUGUAAGAGAAAUCACACGGGGGGUUGCUUCCUCUUCCAGCUCCCUCUUUGUGAAUGGAUGGCGUGGAGACGGCUGCAGCAUUCCACAUUGAUAAAUCAUCCUUCAAUUCAUCUCACGGUUAAUACGCUUGUUUCCGAGGGCAAAAAAAACUUUGAGGAGAGGACAGCCCCCAGUAGGGCAGAAAGGGCCUGGAUGGGUGGCGGAUGUGCCUGACAUCAGACUCCUUAGCCCUUAAGAUGAGAGAAUCCUUGCCCUCGCAGGGGAAAACCAGAUCUGCUCCCGUGCGAAUGCUGAGACAUUCAUGUUCCGUCUAAUGAUACCUGUGGAAUAUCUACCACCAUGGUGGUGGUGAAACAGAUUCCAACACUUCAGUGGGAAUGUCAAGUUUGGAAAGUUUGGGAGCACAAUUUGGCGAGAGCUUCACUGUGUCAACCCUGCAUCUGGCUGAGGAAGAAAUAUCCCAGUCUGCUGGCGCUCAAAGAACUAUCGGAGACCAAGCACCUGUUCAACCUCAGGCAGGAG
Molecule: long non-coding RNA, 562 nt
Organism: Stegostoma tigrinum
Lineage: Eukaryota; Metazoa; Chordata; Chondrichthyes; Orectolobiformes; Stegostomatidae
Exons: 3
Source: RefSeq, a predicted model, not a curated record